AGCGAACGCUGGCGGCAGGCCUAACACAUGCAAGUCGAACGGAUCCUUCGGGAUUAGUGGCGGACGGGUGAGUAACACGUGGGAACGUGCCCUUUGGUUCGGAACAACUCAGGGAAACUUGAGCUAAUACCGGAUGUGCCCUUCGGGGGAAAGAUUUAUCGCCAUUGGAGCGGCCCGCGUCUGAUUAGCUAGUUGGUGAGGUAACGGCCCACCAAGGCGACGAUCAGUAGCUGGUCUGAGAGGAUGACCAGCCACACUGGGACUGAGACACGGCCCAGACUCCUACGGGAGGCAGCAGUGGGGAAUCUUGCGCAAUGGGCGAAAGCCUGACGCAGCCAUGCCGCGUGAAUGAUGAAGGUCUUAGGAUUGUAAAAUUCUUUCAGCGGGGACGAUAAUGACGGUACCCGCAGAAGAAGCUCUGGCUAACUUCGUG
Molecule: ribosomal RNA, 433 nt
Filed under: uncultured bacterium
Lineage: Bacteria
Description: partial 16S ribosomal RNA
Rfam family: Bacterial small subunit ribosomal RNA
Source: RNAcentral